CGCGGGGGCGCUAUCUGCAGUCGGCGCACGCGAUGGGCUUGCCCUUUCAGUAGCGCGAAUAGGAGUAAACUUGGAAACUGCCUCAGGCCAGGGAAACAUUUGGAAAAGAUUUAAUACCGAAUAAAACUUAGUGUCGCAUGACACAAAGUUAAUGACGCUUCGACGUCACCUAGAUAUGGAUCCGCGGUGCAUUUGUUAUUUGGUGGGGUAAAGCCACACCAAGGCAUUCAUGCAUCGCCGAGUUGAGAUCCUUAUCGGUCACAUUGGUACUGAGACACGGCCUAAACUCCUAUGCGAGGCGACAGUGGGGCAUCUUCCACAAUGGGCGAGAGCCAUAUGGAGCAACGCCGCGUUAUUGAUGAAGGCUUUGGGGUCGUUAAGCACUGUUGUAUAAGAAAAGCAGCUAGAAUAGGAAAUGAUUUUAGUUUGACGGUACCAUACCAGAAAGGGACGGCUAAAUACGUGCCAGCAGCCGCGGAAAUACGUAUGUCCCGAGCGUUAUCCGGAUUUAUUGGGCGUAAAGCGAGCGCAGACGGUUUAUUAAGUCUGAUGUGAAAGCCCGGAGCUCAACUCCGGAAUGGCAUUGGAAACUGGUUAACUUGAGUGCAGUAGAGGAAGUGGUUCGG
This 626-nucleotide ribosomal RNA is filed under the name Leuconostoc mesenteroides. Its description in RNAcentral is "bacterial SSU rRNA". It matches the Rfam family "Bacterial small subunit ribosomal RNA", at positions 38 to 668 of the family's 1533-position model. The record is from RNAcentral. Lineage: Bacteria; Bacillati; Bacillota; Bacilli; Lactobacillales; Lactobacillaceae.